CUACGGGACGCACCAGUGGGGAAUAUUGCACAAUGGGGGAAACCCUGAUGCAGCAACGCCGCGUGGAGGAUGACACAUUUCGGUGCGUAAACUCCUUUUAUAUGAGAAGAUAAUGACGGUAUCAUAUGAAUAAGCUCCGGCUAACUCCGUGCCAGCAGCCGCGGUAAUACGGGGGGAGCAAGCGUUACUCGGAAUCACUGGGCGUAAAGAGCAUGUAGGCUGAUAAAAAAGUUAGAAGUGAAAUCCUGUGGCUUAACCAUAGAACUGCUUCUAAAACUCUUUAUCUAGAAUAUGGGAGAGGUAGAUGGAAUUUCUGGUGUAGGGGUAAAAUCCGUAGAGAUCAGAAGGAAUACCGAUUGCGAAGGCGAUCUACUGGAACAUAAUUGACGCUGAGAUGCGAAAGCGUGGGGAGCAAACAGGAUUAGAUACCCCAGUAGUC
Molecule: ribosomal RNA, 439 nt
Filed under: uncultured bacterium
Lineage: Bacteria
Description: partial 16S ribosomal RNA
Rfam family: Bacterial small subunit ribosomal RNA
Source: RNAcentral